Molecule: long non-coding RNA, 2290 nt
Organism: Cinclus cinclus
Lineage: Eukaryota; Metazoa; Chordata; Aves; Passeriformes; Cinclidae
Exons: 2
Source: RefSeq, a predicted model, not a curated record
AUCGAGCUGCCUCAGAAACCCUCCCAGGCACCAAAACAGGCGGGAGGCAGCACAGAACUGAAGGUAAAACUGGAUGGGGAUGUUCAAAAAUAAAACAGGAACGGUCGCGUACCCCAGCAGCUCCCCGGGGUGUGCUGAGGGUCACAGCACCGAGGAAGACUCUGGAAGGGGGGGAUCAGAGCCUCCCACAGCCCAGUCUGUGGCAGAGCUGGAUGUUGAACAAACAGACACUGAGUCACGCCGGACAGGAACGUUUGGAGGAUCUGAGUGUCACAGCCAGAGAGCAGGAGUUGAGCCAAGCUCCUGCUCCAGCCCUCACGCUCCUUUCAUUCUCCACUUGCAGCAGAACUGAACAACCCAGGGGAGGAUUUGAGACCCCCAAACCGGAGGGAUUUUUCUUCUCAACGUGCCCAAUUUCCCCCCAGUGCUGUGCUGGGGUGCAGCCUCUGCGCUCCGGGGUAUUCCUGGUGCAGAGGGAGCUGUGGGAUAACCAGGGGGUGAUAAGGGCUAAGAGGUCUGGCCCUGGGAGAUAAACACACACCCCAUUCUAACCCAUGGCCAAAGCCUGCCCGAAAAUCCAUCUUAAAUGAAAACCACGGUGCUUUUUUCCGGGAUGGAAAUUCUCGCAGGGAGAGGGAAUGAUGUGUGUGCCCAGUGUCCCACUCCUUGGGAUGGCUGGGGACAGGCAGAGGGUGACCACUCUGACCUCUCUCCAUGGCUAAAACCCCCUCGGGCCGGACACUGAGCUGCCUUUGUACAAAUAUUCUCCCUGUGGUUUGCAGUUUUAUAAAUGAGGAGGCUGAGAUGGAAAGAAAAAACCCUGAGGUUUCCAAACAAGCGUUUGGUGGGAGGAGGAUGGGAUCGCAGGGUCUUGAUGCUGAGGGGUGACCUCCCACUGCCGGGAUGGAUGAACUGUGGAUGUUCCACUUCCACGUGCCCCUUGCCACACAUCCCGACGUUUUCCUGGCUGAAUUCAGUUCCCUGAAGAGCAUCAGGUUGAUUUUUCAGAAAGGACGAACACAGAGAAUGAAUCCUUCCCCAUCCCAUUUGCACACGGGUUAGCAUUUAGCUGUAGUCCUAGACCUAAACCUCGUUCUAGUCCUGCUCUAACUGAAAAAUGAAUCAUCCUCUGAGGACUCCAAUGACUUCAGCUGCAGCCAGUGGUGUCCAGAGCACAGAACACAAGGUUUUGGUUAAACAAAAGGCCCCACAUACUUUCUGGGGCUCGUAAUAGAAAUACCCACCCAGGAAACGAGCAGAAAUUACCCUUUCCCUCCUCCAAAUCACAUUUCAGUUCAUCCAUCGUGUCGUAUCUGUUCAUAACAAUACCCAGGCUGAAAAAUUCCCUGUGCGAGGCGACAACCGCGCGGCCACCGCUUGUCCUGACUCGAAGCGCAGCCACCAAAGAGAAAGCGCAUCCCAAAUACCCUCACCCGGAGUGGCUCAGCUGUGAUCCUCCUUGUCCAGCUGGGUCCACGGAGCCUCGCUGCUCUCCUCCCAGCGCAGGAGCUGCUCAGCAGCCCCAUGGCAUUGUCGGGGCACUGAGCCCUUUUCCCUGGCCAACUGCAUUUUUUUUCCCUGGCGAACUGCAUUUUUUUUUUUUCCUGGCGAACUGCAUUUUUUUUUCCCUUUCACGGUGCUGCUCGCAUUUUUCGGCCCUAUCACCUGCACGUUUCCCUGCCUCGGGCACUGCUUAGGAGAGCAGCAGUAAAUAAAAGUUUUUAACAGCCUCCGGUGAGUCAUCGGGGAGGCGCCAGGGAGGGAACUCACAAGGAUUAGUUCGGAGUUCAAGGAUAAAUAUUAAUUAAUAAGACUUUAUCUCGGCUUUCUCUCAAAAAUCCCGGUCCUGGAACGGUUUGGGCUGGAAGAGGCUUGGAAAAGUUCUCUUGGAGUCCCUUUAGGUACUGGAAGGGGCUCUGAAGUUUCCCGUUCCUUGUCCUUCCUAAAGCCCGUCUACCGCUCCAUUCCAACACUCCCACCACACCUCCACCAUCUCAAUAAAAUCAGACUUUUCUUGGAAUUAAUUUUUCUCACACACUCCCCUGAUAACGUGCAGCAGCAGAGCCGUUUGUCUAACAGCAGAAAGUCCAAAGAUUCACCUUUUCACUUUAUUUUUUUUCCCCUUCGUCUAGGGUUCUAUCUUACAAAAGAAAAAAAAAAAAAACAGAAAAAAGGCGGAAAUGAGCUCAAUGGUGAGAUGGCCACAAUUUUGCAAAGUUGAAAUCUUGACCCUAAUUCCCGUACUACUUUUUAAAGAUUAUCCACUUAACCCUUCCCCCCCCCCCCCGAA